GUAUUUAGCUCUUCCCCCUCCCCCUUUUUUUUAACAGAAGAAGAAACUGAAGUUAAGGGGCGUUAAGCGACUCGCUGUAGAUGACACAGCCAAGGAGAUAGAAGUGGGGGGAGGUCAAGGAUGAAGUGGCAGCUCCGGGAGGCUCAGUCCCCGCGGACCCUGGGGCCUGCGGAGCGGAGCUGUCAAGGGAGAGGCACCUGGUCCCUGCUGGCGCUGCCAGGUGGGGUCGGGGAGCGGAUGGAGAAUCGCUCCGGCAGGCAGGUUCGCUAGGCUGGUGUCGGGCGGCCAGGCUGCCCUCGGCCGGCCAGACCGCGUUUCCCUGAUCGGCCACCAGGUGGCGCCGCCCGACCGCGCGGGCCUGCUCUCCGGGGCCGGCAGGUGGCGCGUCCUCUGCUCCGCUCCCGGCCGCUCCACCUCCUCGUGCCUCAGAGGACCGGGCCUCUGGGAGCGGAUGUCUCCCGCUGUGGUCCCCCGGGAAGAGGAGCAUCAGACCACCCUCUUCCUCUGUGACGCUCUGAGAGGGGACCUCUGACUUCUGUCCUCGCCGCGGUCCCCGAGGAGGAGGCUCCUCGGACCUUCCUUCCCAGGGGUGGACACGGGGGAAGGGGCACCUCGGACCCACGUCCAGCGAGCAGCCCUCUCAAGAGGGCGCUUCGGACUCUUGUCCUCACCAUGGCCCUGCGAGAGGGGGCGCCUUGGACCGCUGUCCCCAAUCCUUCAAAUUUCAUGUCCUGCCAAGCUCCUGCCAGUGCCUGAAAUGUUACCACUUGAGCCUCUUGACAGGUGGUGUCCUGUCAAUAACUCCCCCGUUCGCUCGCCUUCACCCUGGGCGCUUCCUUCUCCGAUCCAUCGGCCUCACUCCGAAGGGCAGGGCUUUUCGGCAGAGGGUCUGGAGCUUGCAAGAAAGACCUAGUAGCUUCUACAAUGCAGAGGUCCAGCCACGCUUCCAUCAGGCACUGAUCCCCUCCUGCCACCUCAGCCUCUGCACACACGGUGAAUAAGCUCAGGUUGGAGUCACAAGGAACAAGAUCCACGCCCUGGUUUCUGCCAGGUGCUAGGACUGCCCCUGUCCAGAGAUGCCCAGACAGAAGGUGACUGACAGAAAGGGUCAAGAGCAAGGCAGUCGGAUGCCAGCCCAGAAACUUCCCCCGGAGCACCUCUCAAUGCCGUUCUGACCGGGAAGCCGCGUUGUGGCUAAGUGGUUAAGACUUUUGCCUGUGGAGACAGGCUGCCUGGCCAGCCUCGAAUCUUGAGAACUUUGAAGUUGACUUGGAUGUGGGACAACAAAGGCGCCUCCAUCUUGGAUGCAAAUUGU
This 1315-nucleotide long non-coding RNA is filed under the name Equus asinus (donkey). RNAcentral describes it as "lncRNA (ENSEASG00005025109.1)". Lineage: Eukaryota; Metazoa; Chordata; Mammalia; Perissodactyla; Equidae. The record is from RNAcentral.